GUUACUCUUUUGUACUUUGUCUUUUUCUUUUAUUUUCUUUUGAGCGAUUGUGCGAACAUAGCAUAGCACGCACUAUGCCUUCUGUGUUGUAGCUGCCUGGCCAGGGCGACUGGCGGAUAAGGUCUUGUGCGUGGCCUCGAGGCUUAAAAGUAGCAGUGGGGCUUUGUGAAGGACAAAAUGGCGAUGGCGGGCCGUGUAGGUCCCCCUUCCUAUGAUGAGGACCUUUUCACAGACCUGUACUGAGCUCCGUGAGGAUAAAUAACUCUGAGGAGAUGGGCCCUGCAAGCCUCUUGCUUAGCCGUCUGUUCAGAAAAUAGCGUUUUCGAAAUGCCCUGAGUUGACCUAAUGUCUUAUUGGGCUCCUGUCUGCAGGAUUUACGCGCACGUUGGAACCGAAGAGAGCUCUGUUGUUGCAGUAAGUUCUUACGGCCAUUUCUUAAUCUCUGCUCUUUCGUUGAGUGUGUGGAAGUUGCUACGGGGAUGAUUUUACGAACUGAACUCUCUCUUUCUGAUGGAUUAGUGGAGAAAACAGAAAAUUCUGAGUAGCACUGUACUGUACGCAACAAAUGUCAGGGCCCUAUUGAUUUGUCUGAGGUGUUAGUGAAGGGUGUUAUUUUUUCAGAUGUUCAGCCCACAAGAGCUUACUGGUGAAGGAAUGGGACAAGACCCAUCUUUAUGCAAAGCCAGCGUUACAGUAAUGUUCCAGGUAGGUGUACAUGGUUUAUGCUCUUACAGAGGAGACCUUGUAGAUAACCACUCCAUGAUGAACACAAAAUGACAAGCAUAUGGCUGAACUUUCAAGUGAUGUCAUCUUACUACUGAGAAGUGAGAGAGAGGUCUUAAGGGGUCUUUGAAUGACUAUUUUUAGGUACAUAAAAUGCUUUCCUCUGUUGUCUACAGCAUCUCAUAAUCUAUCCUGGGGAAUUCAGCUGCCUCCCAGGGUGAAUACAGGUAAUUAUCCAAAUUGGUGUAUGUCAUCUUUGUAAAUGUUCAAGAAAACAAGUGGCCGGCGGAACAAUGUUUUUUGGCGCCUUCCAUCUUGUUCCUCUUGAAAUGAUUUUCUGGGGAGGGAGAUCGCAACCCGGUACUACAGUUCUUGUAAGGGUGUGCUGUUACCCUCAUCCAUAUAUCGAUCACGUUACUGUCAGAUGAUUUGAAUUGAUAAGCUGAUGUUCUGUGAGGUACAAAAGUUAAUAGCAUGUUAGAGUUCUGAUGGCAGUUGUUGUUUAUGAAUAAGCUUCAUUCCAUCCUAAUACCUUAAAAUAACUAAUUUGCUUUCCUUUCCAGGUAUUCCUGAUGACAGUCUGCCUCUAUCUUACAGUAAGUUGUUUUUCGAAUUCUAUGGGCCUAUUAUCUAAUAGAUAACUUAGCCAUUUUGAUAUUUGUUACCAAAGCCUGCUUAACCCAUAAAGUUUUCUGGUUCCUCUUGUUCUCUGUAGUGAUGUUUCUAGAUAGAUGCCCACUGAUAUAUGCCCCUUUUUUCUCAGAUAGAUGCCCACUGAUCUGCCCAGGGUCAGACGAAUGCUUGUCAGUUGUAGCUUUCCAGGAUUCUGCUCCAAUGAGGAGGAAACAUCCUGCCUUACCCCUGUUUUAGCCUGGGAACCAGUAAUUGUGAACUCACCAGGGUUAACAUGAAGAGGGCAUGAGAGCUUAUUCCAUAAGGAAUUGUCUGAGACAUUUGGUUACCUUUUCUUAGUUUGUCCAUUAGCAACCGUAACUAAAAUAGUUUUGGCUGUUUGGGAUAAUUAGCUAAUUGAAUGAUUUUUUGAUUCAGGAGCAGCUUGUUGCUAUAUACCAUUGAAAAGCCUUCAGAGCUGAGAGGUUAGUUGAUAUUUUUUGUUCCUUACAGCUUAUGCCACCAAGUAGGCAGUUUCUAUGAUGAAUCAAACUAGCUCACUAUGACCGACAGUGAAAAUACAUGAACACCUGAGAAACUGGAGAACGCAGGGAGUGGGGGGUAACCAUGUCUGAGGAAUCUUUCACCCACAGCUUUGUUUUUCUCUAGGUACUACUAACCAAUAACCUGCUUGGCUCAAAGGGCCAGCACCUUCUCUCUAAAGCCCAAGAGGAGUUUGAGGUAAAUGGCUUUGCAAUAGUUACCAUCAAUGGCUGCUAUAUAAAAUUUUCUGUGAUUUUUGUGUGUGAUAGCACUGUGGUCUGGGUGAAUGUACACAGACAUAACUGGCUUAACCCAAAGUCUUUGAUCUCCUGAACCACCAGUGAUGAAUUGCUGCUCACCAGUGAUGAGUUGAAUACCGCCCCAGUCUGAUCAAUGUGUGACUGAAAGGUAUUUUCUGAGCUGUGAGCCUGCCUUCCAGUGACAUGUUCUAAAAAUUGCAAGUUAUUUGAGGAGGCUUUACAGCCAAUAGGAAGUUCUUGGGCUAAGUAGUGUUUCCUAUAAAAUGUGCCCUGAAACUUCUUUCUGCCAAGCAAUAGAUACAAUUGAGAGAUUGUAAAAUGUGACAUAGAAUGAAAGUCUCUCAAGACUACAUUUUUCUUUCUUGAUUUUGCAGGAAAACUAGGUGUCUGUGUUCACUCCAGGCUGAAGUUACAGGUGAGUAAACCUAAAUGUAAGGUGGACUAUGCUAAAAAUUCCCAAUGAAGAAACUUUCACAUGUCUUACUCUCUGUCCUAGUCCCAGAGCCUGUAAAGGUGAACCCACUGGGACUGGCUGGGGGAGAAGAGGAAGAUUUGUUCCAGAAGGAACUGUCUGAGGGAUGAUAAAGAUUUCUAUACAGAGAAAGGGAGUAAUCAUCACUUGUUGAAAACAUUGGUUUUAUUUUUUCCAGGUCUGAGCAAAUAAGGUGUAUAAAAAAUGGAAUCUGUCUUGGAGGACAUCAGAAGGUGAAUUUUCCAAGUUCUUGGACAACCUAGCUGUUGAAAAGCUUUCUGGGUUUGGGGGGUAUUUCAGAUGUACCUUAAAGUGUUAGCAGACACAGAUUAAGACACUGGGAGCCAAUGAAACAGCAGUUGAGGGUUUGCUGUGUAUCACAUUUCUGUAUUUUAUCACCCCCUUCCUGCAACAUUAUUUAUCUGGAAUCUACCUGCCCUUUUGUUUUUUAGAUACAAGGGCUUGGUUUUGUUACCCAGGCUGGUUUCAAGGCCAUAGCUUUAAGAGAUCCUCUCACCACAGAUUUCCAAAGUGCUGGGAUUGCAGGUGUGAUUCAUGGCACCCAGACUUUGCUGCCUUUCUUACAUGAUCCAGGCCCAGAACCCAAACUCAGGCACUGUAUAGAUGACCACUUUCGUAAACUACUGACCUAGCUUGUUGCCAAUUGUUGAUUGAACUUCCCAUAACUCCACUUCGUGUCUGUUCCUCUGUAUACAGCCACCUUCUGUUCCCGUCAUGAGCCUUUAGGUCUCCAUUUGCAUAUUGCAAAUACUAUGUUCCAUGUAGGUAGCUCAUUCAGGGCCUUGCUCUUCACUUCAAAAAAGGUUCCCUUGAGGACUGGCUGUCAAUUUGUGUUGCUGUGUUGGUUGUUGAUGAAAAUAAUAAAAUGA
RNAcentral lists this long non-coding RNA (3500 nucleotides) under Homo sapiens (human). The record is from RNAcentral. Lineage: Eukaryota; Metazoa; Chordata; Mammalia; Primates; Hominidae.